This 253-nucleotide ribosomal RNA is filed under the name uncultured bacterium. RNAcentral describes it as "partial 16S ribosomal RNA". It matches the Rfam family "Bacterial small subunit ribosomal RNA", at positions 524 to 776 of the family's 1533-position model. The record is from RNAcentral.
UACGGAGGGUGCGAGCGUUGUCCGGAAUCAUUGGGCGUAAAGCGCGCGCAGGCGGUCCUUUAAGUCUGAUGUGAAAGCCCACGGCUCAACCGUGGAGGGUCAUUGGAAACUGGGGGACUUGAGUGCAGAAGAGGAAAGCGGAAUUCCACGUGUAGCGGUGAAAUGCGUAGAGAUGUGGAGGAACACCAGUGGCGAAGGCGGCUUUCUGGUCUGUAACUGACGCUGAGGCGCGAAAGCGUGGGGAGCAAACAGG